This 1304-nucleotide long non-coding RNA is filed under the name Phocoena sinus (vaquita). Its description in RNAcentral is "lncRNA (ENSPSNG00000003109.1)". Lineage: Eukaryota; Metazoa; Chordata; Mammalia; Artiodactyla; Phocoenidae. The record is from RNAcentral.
GGAGUCGCCUGGCGCGGAGAGCGCGCGCGGAGCUCGCCCAGGGAUUGUUUGGCAAAAGGAAUCUACGUGCUGUCUGCGCCAUUCCCCAGUGGUUUUAGCCAAGGCUGCUCUUGUAGAAUUUUCUUUCAGAUAUUGUACUAAAGGUGUCGUUUUUCCUUGAAACGUUCUCAUUGGUGCGAGAGUACGCGGGACUCUCACUGUUGUGGCCUCUCCCACUGUGGAGCACAGGCUCCGGACGCGCAGGCUCAGCGGCCAUGGCUCACGGACCCAGGGAAAACACUUCUUUCCCACAUCAGAUGUUUCUUAAAGUAUGGAGGGGGUGCCACUAACAUAACACUCGAUACCUCAUUCCAGCGCUUCUAACAAGUUUCCUGAUGUGGCAUUCUGGGAACAACACCUACCCUUUACCAGUGGCCCCCUGAGAUUCCACAAAAGAGCUGAAAUCAGUAUUGAAGUAGCCUUAUGAAGAUGGGAGCAGGACUACGCUAACUGACUGCUGACUUCUUACCCAAGGGGGAUAACCAUGUCCUAAGAAUUUACAGGGACAAGUCUUUGGAGUAGGUGGAGGGGAGAGUUUCUGUAAUCCCGUUCUGCCAGUCAGCAACCCAGUGGUAAGUCUGCCUUGUCCUAGGGUUCAGUGUUGGGAGGCCCACUGGCGCCAUCUCGCCUCCAGCGUCAGCUUUAUCAGGAAGAGCGACAGUUCUCAGCUGUCUACUUUUUUCCUGUUUUUCAGUUGGCUCACAACUUGGUAGGAAGAGGGAUGUGGUUUACUGAGUCCCCUAAACGUUCUCAGUCCUUAACAGUGCUGUGCCUAUUAACACCACAAAUACUGUGAAUUUUCCUAUGUUUUUUUAGCCAUGAAAUUACAUUCAAUCCUACCUGUUAUUUUUCUAAUAAUAUUUUGUGUAUAUUUCAUAGAUUUGUACAUCCUAAUGAGUGUAGUUUGUUUUCAAAAUGUUAUUUUCUAAAGGACUGUUACUGGGCAAUAUAUGAAACAUCAGCAUAGUUAAGUUCAGGAGAAAGAGAAUUGCUCUGUAGCCUUAAACAGCUAGUUCUUCAAGACACAUUGUUGCCAGAGUUUCAUAGAAGGUGAAUGAAUACAUUAGGGGUUGAUUGUAAGGAGAUCAGGCGUGCCAUUCUGUUUCUUCCUGUUCUGUAAGUUACUUGGCCUGCUAAGCCUUUUAACAUUCAUAAAACAAUGAUAUAAAAUAUGGCCCUCAUAUGAGACAAUAAGAUUAUAAAGCACGAAUCUUUGUUUUGUAAGCAACUUGGGUCUUUAGAAAAUGAGCUGCUUUUUAGAUUAC